RNAcentral lists this transfer RNA (96 nucleotides) under Aaosphaeria arxii CBS 175.79. It matches the Rfam family "tRNA". Rfam says of the family: Transfer RNA (tRNA) molecules are approximately 80 nucleotides in length. Their secondary structure includes four short double-helical elements and three loops (D, anti-codon, and T loops). Lineage: Eukaryota; Fungi; Ascomycota; Dothideomycetes; Pleosporales. The record is from Rfam by way of RNAcentral.
GACAACAUGCCAGAGUGGUUAAUGGGUUAGACUUGAAUUUCAUGUUCAUGUCAUCUAAUGUCUUCGGACGCGUAGGUUCGAUCCCUACUGUUGUCG